ACUCAAAGGAAUUGACGGGGGCUCACACAAGCGGUGGAGGAUGUGGUUUAAUUCGAAGCAACGCGAAGAACCUUACCAGGUUUUGACAUUCCGGGAUUAAUCCGAUGAAAGUCGGAGGAUUACUGUCAAAGGUGUAACCGGAACAGGUGCUGCAUGGCUGUCGUCAGCUCGUGCCGUGAGGUGUUAGGUUAAGUCCUUUAACGAGCGAAACCCCUACGGUUAGUUACCAGCGCGUAAUGGCGGGGACUCUAGCCGGACUGCCGCGAAAGUAGGAGGAAGGUGGGGACGACGUCAAGUCAUCAUGGCCUUUAUAAUCUGGGCUACACACGUCCUACAAUGGGUGGUACAAAGGGUAGCGAAACCGCAAGGUGGAGCCAAUCCUCAAAAGCCAUCCUCAGUUCAGAUUGUGGGCUGCAAUUCGCCCACAUGAAGCUGGAAUCGCUAGUAAUCGCGGAUCAGCUACGCCGCGGUGAAUAUGUUCCUGAGCCUUGUACACACCGCCCGU
RNAcentral lists this ribosomal RNA (505 nucleotides) under uncultured bacterium. RNAcentral's name for it is "partial 16S ribosomal RNA". It matches the Rfam family "Bacterial small subunit ribosomal RNA", at positions 899 to 1397 of the family's 1533-position model. The record is from RNAcentral.